GCCAACGACCAUACCACGUUGAAUACACCAGUUCUCGUCCGAUCACUGAAGUUAAGCAACGUCGGGCGUAGUUAGUACUUGGAUGGGUGACCGCUUGGGAACACUACGUGUCCUGUUGGCA
RNAcentral lists this ribosomal RNA (121 nucleotides) under Cinara cedri. Lineage: Eukaryota; Metazoa; Arthropoda; Insecta; Hemiptera; Aphididae. The record is from RNAcentral.